UCACUACACCUGUUAUCAACACCAAGUUCCUCCCUGCAGCUGGGAGGAAUAAAAUGGAUGGCAGCAGACUUUAGAGCUGGCUGCCCUGGCAGAGGAAUGGUGGGUCUGAGGCAGAGAGGACCUAAAGUGUGGACCCCACAACCUUGAGGUGGGAGAGGAGAAGUUGCUACAGGAAGCACGAGAGAAGCUUGCAGUGGCAGAAACUGUCCUAACCGUGGAGCCACAGGAAGUGACCCUCCACCCCACAGGCAUUCAUUCUAUCUACAAGCAUCACUAAUUGCAGGACAUAAUAUUCAAGAUAAGGGGCCAACAAUGACUCCUCUGAUGUACAGUGAAAGAAGAAUCAAAAGGAGAUGAACUAUGUGAAGAAAAGUUGAAGUAAAACAAAAUGAACUAUCUUUAAUAAUUAGUGAUAACACCGGUAGUUUAAAGAAAAUAAAUGUUUUUGCUUCAUAUAAUAGGGAGUCUUAAACCAUGUAGUUGUUUAAGAUUCAUUUGUUAGAACCUACCUUUCCAGCCUGAUUGUAAAAUAUCAGUUAAAUCUGUAUCUUCCAAUAUAGAUCCUGAAAUGCAA
Mauremys reevesii (Reeves's turtle) is the source of this 574-nucleotide long non-coding RNA. RefSeq lists it as uncharacterized. The transcript is spliced from 3 exons. The record is from RefSeq and is a predicted model, not a curated record. Lineage: Eukaryota; Metazoa; Chordata; Testudines; Geoemydidae.